UACUACCGAAGCUACGGCAUCAGUAAUGAUGGGUAGGGGAGCUUCCCAUACGGGUUGAAGCAUGACCGUAAGGACAUGUGGACAGUAGGGGAGUGAGAAUGUUGGCAUGAGUAGCGAGAUGUGGGUGGGAAUCCCACAGGCCGUAAACCCAAGGUUUCCAGGGGAAGGUUCGUCCGCCCUGGGUUAGUCGGGACCUAAGCUGAGGCCGAAAGGCG
RNAcentral lists this ribosomal RNA (215 nucleotides) under Clostridioides difficile. RNAcentral's name for it is "partial 23S ribosomal RNA". It matches the Rfam family "Bacterial large subunit ribosomal RNA", at positions 1189 to 1411 of the family's 2925-position model. The record is from RNAcentral. Lineage: Bacteria; Bacillati; Bacillota; Clostridia; Peptostreptococcales; Peptostreptococcaceae.